Molecule: long non-coding RNA, 305 nt
Organism: Solanum pennellii
Lineage: Eukaryota; Viridiplantae; Streptophyta; Magnoliopsida; Solanales; Solanaceae
Exons: 2
Source: RefSeq, a predicted model, not a curated record
GUCGUCUUCAACUCAACCGCAACUCUAGCCAGUCUUCAUUACACCGGAUUUCAGGGUUCCGCUCGUUGAAGGGAUUUCUAGAUAACUUUGAAGGAAGAUUUGGAAUUCUCACUCAUCCAGGUUGGGAAGGUCCUCACUCUCCGAGGGCAAUGCCACUAUCAAGUUUAUGAAUGUUGUUCUUUUUUUAAGACUUCUAGUUCUUUCCUUUUCAUUUGAGUACUAAAUAUGUAGAUCCUAUAUGUGUUUUUAUUACAUUGACGUAUGAGAUAUUCCCAAUUAAUACACACUUGUUUAGAUAGUUAUGA